UACGAAGGGGGCUAGCGUUGCUCGGAAUCACUGGGCGUAAAGCGCACGUAGGCGGCUUUCUAAGUCAGGGGUGAAAUCCUGGAGCUCAACUCCAGAACUGCCUUUGAUACUGGGAAGCUCGAGUCCGGGAGAGGUGAGUGGAAUUCCUGGUGUAGCGGUGAAAUGCGCAGAUAUCAGGAAGAACACCCGUGGCUAAGGCGGCUCUCUAGUACGGUACUGACGCUGAGACGCGAAAGCGUGGGGAGCGAACAGG
This 253-nucleotide ribosomal RNA is filed under the name uncultured bacterium. RNAcentral describes it as "partial 16S ribosomal RNA". It matches the Rfam family "Bacterial small subunit ribosomal RNA", at positions 524 to 776 of the family's 1533-position model. The record is from RNAcentral.